GCUCCCAUGGCGUAGUGGUCACUGCGCUCGCCUUGCACGCGGGAGGCCCGGGUUUUCCCGGCGGGGACA
Molecule: transfer RNA, 69 nt
Filed under: Diaphorina citri (Asian citrus psyllid)
Lineage: Eukaryota; Metazoa; Arthropoda; Insecta; Hemiptera; Psyllidae
Rfam family: tRNA
About the family: Transfer RNA (tRNA) molecules are approximately 80 nucleotides in length. Their secondary structure includes four short double-helical elements and three loops (D, anti-codon, and T loops). Further hydrogen bonds mediate the characteristic L-shaped molecular structure. tRNAs have two regions of fundamental functional importance: the anti-codon, which is responsible for specific mRNA codon recognition, and the 3' end, to which the tRNAs corresponding amino acid is attached (by aminoacyl-tRNA synthetases). tRNAs cope with the degeneracy of the genetic code in two manners: having more than one tRNA (with a specific anti-codon) for a particular amino acid; and 'wobble' base-pairing, i.e. permitting non-standard base-pairing at the 3rd anti-codon position.
Source: Rfam by way of RNAcentral